GAAAUGCGAUAAGUAAUGUGAAUUGCAGAAUUCAGUGAAUCAUCGAAUCUUUGAACGCACAUUGCGCCCUCUGGUAUUCCGGAGGGCAUGCCUGUUCGAGCGUCAAGACAACAACCUCCUCCUAGCCUUUUAUCGGGUGAAGGGGGGUCCUGACCGUUAGGUGUCGAACCCUCUGGGCCCGUCACCCGGUUCAAAUUUGCGGUCUUGUAGGUCAAAGGGAUGUCCCGACGUAGUAUAAAUGAUCUCGUCAAGGUUCCCCCCGAGUUCCUAAGACCUUAAGCGUUCAGACGCCACAAACUUUUGCUGUUUGACCUCGGAUCAGGUAGGGAUACCCGCUGAACUUAA
RNAcentral lists this unclassified non-coding RNA (345 nucleotides) under uncultured Pezizales. RNAcentral's name for it is "sequence contains ITS1". The stretch from base 1 to 105 matches the Rfam family "5.8S ribosomal RNA", at positions 50 to 154 of the family's 154-position model. Lineage: Eukaryota; Fungi; Ascomycota; Pezizomycetes; Pezizales. The record is from RNAcentral.